UACGAAGGGGGCUAGCGUUGCUCGGAAUCACUGGGCGUAAAGGGUGCGUAGGCGGGUUUUUAAGUCAGGGGUGAAAUCCUGGAGCUCAACUCCAGAACUGCCUUUGAUACUGAAGAUCUUGAGUUCGGGAGAGGUGAGUGGAAUUGCGAGUGUAGAGGUGAAAUUCGUAGAUAUUCGCAAGAACACCAGUGGCGAAGGCGGCUCACUGGCCCGAUACUGACGCUGAGGCACGAAAGCGUGGGGAGCAAACAGG
This 253-nucleotide ribosomal RNA is filed under the name uncultured bacterium. RNAcentral's name for it is "partial 16S ribosomal RNA". It matches the Rfam family "Bacterial small subunit ribosomal RNA", at positions 524 to 776 of the family's 1533-position model. The record is from RNAcentral.